AAGUGCAAGAAUUUGAAUGUGGUUAAAAUGAUAUGAUUCUGGAGAACAUCCUCUCAUGAAUGUGUAUGUUUAACAUUAUAAGAACAGUGGGACAAGUUGAACUCCUAAGACAAUGUAAAAGGUGCAGCAGAGGAAUUCUCCUGUGGUCUCUGGGAAAUCGAUCACUGCUAAUUCACAGUCUUUAGUUUGAAAUCUACAGGAACCAUGAAGUUUGGAGACAUCAUUUCAUUCUCUCGUAUUGGGUACCCACACCAGGUGGUUUACACUGGGAAAAAUGACAAAGGACAAGAUAUGGUUGUCCAUUUUUCAGACGCUUUUAUCCAAGGCAACUUACAGAGACUAGGGUGUGUGAACUAUGCAUCAGCUGCAGAGUCACUUACAAUUACGUCUCACCCGAAAGACGGAGCACAAGGAGGUUAAGGGUCACACAAUGAGUCAGUGGCUGAACCGGGAUGUGAACUGGGGACCUUCUGGUUACAAGCUCUUUUCUUUAACCACUGAACCACACAGCCUCCUACCAGAUUUUAUGAAAAGUAUCUCAGACUACAAGAGCUUUUUAACAGAACUGAAAAGAUGAUUAAAACAGGACCAGCUUUGUGACCACGUCUAGACUCCCUCCAUUUGUUGAUUUUCUUUUAUUGUAUUUUAUUGUUAUUUUAGUAUUUUUAAUUGUAUUGUAUUGUUGUUAUUGGCAUUGUUUGUAUAUUUAGUUGUUAGUCUGUGGGACUACCAAUGCAAAUUAGCUGUGACUAACUUGGGUGUGAUGCAUCGCAUGUUUAAUCAUGAAUGUUUAUUGCACAUGGUCCCAAAUCAAAUUAAUAAAUAAAUAAUAAUAAUAAAAAAAUUCUCAAUCUAAAGCCAAGAAGGUAAUGAGUCAGCCUGG
Molecule: long non-coding RNA, 883 nt
Organism: Acipenser ruthenus (sterlet)
Lineage: Eukaryota; Metazoa; Chordata; Actinopteri; Acipenseriformes; Acipenseridae
Exons: 3
Source: RefSeq, a predicted model, not a curated record